Molecule: transfer RNA, 72 nt
Filed under: Camelus bactrianus (Bactrian camel)
Lineage: Eukaryota; Metazoa; Chordata; Mammalia; Artiodactyla; Camelidae
Also listed under: 2 other names
Rfam family: tRNA
About the family: Transfer RNA (tRNA) molecules are approximately 80 nucleotides in length.
Source: Rfam by way of RNAcentral
AAGGGCAUAGCUCAGUGGUAGAGUGCAUGCCUAGCAUGCCGUAUGUCCUGGGUUCAAUCCCCAGUACUUCUA